RNAcentral lists this unclassified non-coding RNA (233 nucleotides) under Hevea brasiliensis (rubber tree). Lineage: Eukaryota; Viridiplantae; Streptophyta; Magnoliopsida; Malpighiales; Euphorbiaceae. The record is from RNAcentral.
GAAGCAGUUGGUUCAGGAAGCUCUCAAUACCGACCAAUUUAGCUUUCCACCACCACCACCAAAAGAAGAAGAGGGACAGAGUGUUACUCCACAAGGACAAAAUACCCAAGAAAUUCCUGCUUUGUCAUCUGAACCGACCUUGGAUGCUCCUUCAAAAGCUGAAGCACCCUUGUCAGAAUCUGAUGUCAGUACAGAGAUUAAACCACCACCACCCCAAGAAUCAAAAGUUGAAG